Molecule: RNA transcript, 2215 nt
Organism: Rhinichthys klamathensis goyatoka
Lineage: Eukaryota; Metazoa; Chordata; Actinopteri; Cypriniformes; Leuciscidae
Exons: 5
Source: RefSeq, a predicted model, not a curated record
AGAAAAAUAAGACAUAAAAACAUUAAACUCAAGGUGCAUGUUCUUAAACCAGAUGAUCAAGAAGAGAACUUUAUCACAGAAAUAAUUAACAAAGAGCACACAAAAUCAUUCAGGACCACAAAUUGUUCCAGUUUAAAAGAUAAAAGAAGAGGAUAUUUUAUUUUUCAUUGCAGAAGAUCUGGAAAUGUAUAUGAAAGAAGUCACAGAGCUGUCGGGUGUAAAGCAUACAUCUCUUUUAAAGUAAGAAAUGAUUGGAAAGGGCACAAAGUUGUUGUGCAGAGAAUAUUUGACCAGCACAAUGGUCAUGAUGUUUCUGUAGAAGAUGGUCAUUUUCAGCAGAUUCACCCUCAUCUGGUGGAUGAGAUCAAGAAGUGGAUCACAUUAGGCGUAAAACCAGAUGUCAUCCUCCUUCAAGCUCAUGAGUGGUCAAAAGCUCAUGGAGAAGUUAAUUAUCAUUCCAGAGAAUAUUUUGUUACACCAGAAGACAUACAUAAUAUCCGUACCUGUAUGCUUCGAGGGAAACAUCUUGAUAAAGAUGAUUAUAAGAGUACAGAGAAACUAUUAGCUGGUCCUUUAAAAGAUAAUGUUGUAUUUUAUCAGCCACUGGGUAAGGAUCAGGACCUUAUAAUCGUUCUCCAAACGGAGUGCAUGAGAAAAGACUUACAGGACCAUGGGAGUAACAUUGUGUUUUUUGAUGCCUCGCAUUGUGUGAAUCAAUAUUCCUUUCCACUUUUUACAUUGCUUGUGAGAGAUGACCAUGGUCAUGGAGUUCCUGUUGCAUACAUAAUAACAAGCAGUGAGACACAAGAAACCCUUAAGCUUGCACUUCGGAGGCUAAGACCUUUGUUCCCUAAGCCACCAAGGUGCUUCAUGGUUGACAAAGACAUGAGUGAAAUAAAUGCUUUGAAUGACGUUUUCCCUGAGUCGGAUGUUCUUCUUUGCUGGUACCAUGUACUCCAAGCCAUUGUUCGGUGGUUGAUGAAGUCAGAUUCCAGUGUUAGUGGGCCACAGCGUUCAAGUAUCCGGAAAGAAAUUAUUGAUUACUUCAAAAAAAUGAAAGCUUGUCCUAUGACUCACAAUACCUAUUUUUGUUAAUUGCAGAAGGCUGACUUUGACAGAGUGUCUAAAAAAUUCCUAAAGGAAUUUUCUCACUACGAAGAGCUUUGCAAUUACUUCCAGAGGUACUGGGAACCAAUAAGUCAUAGAUGGGCGGAUUAUGGACGUUGUUAUAACCAUGGGAAUUCAGAGACCAACAAUUUGAUAGAAAGGUUCUUCCAUCGACUGAAAUACCAAUUCUUAUCUGGGAUAAGAAAUCGGCGUUUGGAUGACUUGCUUGACGUCCUUCUUUGCAAGACAGAGACUUACUUUCAGGUGAUAAAACACUUGCAAUCAGCAGGAAGAAUGGCAAACUGUGUUGCCAUGAAGUUAGAGGAAACAUUUAACAAAGCAACUAGAAUGAUGGAAAAAGGCUGGAUUGACCACAUUACAAGAGAAUCAUCAGAAAUAUAUGUGUAUAAUGUGCCAUCCGAACAAGACUCCUCACUUUCCUAUAGAACCUGCCCAGCAGAGUGUUUCUGCAGUUGCCCUGUGGGUUUGAAAGGUGAAGUAUGCAAACAUUUGGUGUUGCUAGAUAUACUCAAAGAUAAGGAUGAUGCAUUCUCUGAACUUACUCUUCAGCUGGAAGCUCAUGCAAGAGCUGUACAAGACAAAGGUCACUUCAGUAUCUGUUCUGAGGUGAAGAUGGAAAUCGACGUGGAAAGCUUUUUUGGGAGAGGAACAUAUACAGAUUUGGAAACACAUUCUUGUACCUGUUGCACAUUCUCAUAUCAUGGCAUAUGUCCCUGCCUUAUUUUAGCACAACAGUUGUUUGGCAUGACCAUUAAUGAAAAAAAGUGCUGUUCUGUGAAUCAAUCAGACAAUGCUGAUGUGUAUUUUGAGAAACAAGACACAAGUUCACAAGACUUCCGGAGACUAGAAGAUGUUCUUGAAAUUGUCAAAAGAUGGCAGACUGUCCCAGAGAGCAUCAAAAGCCAAAUAAAUGAUCUCUAUGUUAACGUGCAACAAGAAGACAGAAGUCUUUUGUCAAAAAGGCAUUGCACCAUUGACACUUCAAGGAAGAUACAGCCACUCUUCCCAUGCAAUGCAAAAAAUAGAAAAAAGACUUCCAAGGUUUCCAAGAAAACUUCUGACACAAAUUCAGAAGGGUUUAAAAGAA